AGUUAUCAGCACACAGAAGAGAUUAUGCUGCUUUUUCAUGGCUGAGAGAGAGAGAGUUGUAAUACAGAAAGCUGUUUCUGCAGAUUUCAACUCACAAAACAGUUUGUCAGUACACAUGACGUGUGCUAGUAUUGAUUUACCGCAAAAAGUUCUUGACAAUGUACCUGAUUACCUGUGGGCUAAAGACAAGUAUGAUGUGGGCUUGAUUAAAGGGUGUGAACCAGUAACUAUCACCCCAAAGAGUGAUUAUAGACCAUGUAAACCCCAAUAUCCUCUGAAAAGGGAGGCGCUUGAGGGGAUAAGGCCAGUAUUUUAGGCAUUAUUGGGAUAAUUAUUCCCUGCCCACACUCACCUGUGAGAACACCCAUUUUUCCUGUACAAAAGGUCAGGGAUGCAGGUCAGCCCACAGAGUGGAGGUUUGUUCAAGAUCUCCAAGCAGGAAAUGCUGCAGUACAAGCAAGGGCACCUCACGUGCCAAACCCUUACACAAUUCUCUCACAGAUACCAGCUGACGGCCAGUGGUUUUCUGUAGUGGAUAUUUCAAGUGCAUUCUUCAGAGUUCCUGUCCAUUCUAAUAGCCAGUUUUGGUUUGAUUUUACAUUUAAGGGGUACAGCGAGAGCCGCACUAUUUACAAACUCUGCAUUGCAUUGUUCAUUAAAGAAACUUGUGUUGGAUGAUGAUGUUGCUUUAUUGCAGUACGUGGAUGACCUCUUGGUGCCAGCACCGACUCAGCAAUCGUACACAGACAACACCAUACGGCUGCUUACUCAUCUAGCUAAGGAAGGUCAUAAGGUCAACCCCAAAAAGGUACAGUGCUCUGUCCAGAAAGUAACCUUUCUAGGACACGAAAUUACACCUAUGGGUAAGUCUCUCUCUCCAAAGAGAAUAGAGGCAAUAGCUAACAUACCAAAACCCAUUACAAAGAAACAGGUGAUGUCAUUCUUGGGUAUGACAUCUUAUUGUAGGACCUUUAUUGCUAACUAUUCUGAGAUGCAACAACCAUUGCAUGACAUGAUUUAUGAGAAACCUUUGGCACCAUCAGAGAAGGUAGAAUGGACAGAGAAGGCUGAAAGGGCAUUUGUGGAACUAAAACAGACAUUACAGCAGGCACCCACUUUAGGGUUGCCAGACCCAAAAAAAAAGCCUUUUAUUCAAACUGUGGAUGAAAGAAAUGGCUGUAUGACAUCUGUUUUGUUACAAGAACAUGGUGACAAGUUGAGACCAGUUGCAUAUUUUUCAGGACGCCUUGAUGCGGUGGCCAGGGGCCUACCAGGAUGUCUCAGGGCUUGAACAGCGCACAUCUCACUUGUCUGCAGCAAGAUGGCUGCGUUAUUCCUGUGCAUUGUUUCAGAUGUCUAAUGUCACAGUUGAAAGAUGUACAGUGCUAAACCCAGCGACAUUGUUACCUACACCUGAUGAAGGUACACCACAUUGUUGUUUGUCUGCCCUACGGGAAGUAUGCACACCAAGGCCUGACCUUGCUGACACACCCAUACCUAAAUGCACCCUCACAUAUUAUGUGGAUGGUUCCUCUUCCAGAGAUGACAGAGGCAUAGAUAGGAUGGGGUGGGCAGUUGUGUCUGACUUUGAAGUAGUGAAAUCCGGAUGCUUACCACCUCAGAAAUCUGCAAAGGUGGCUGAAUUGCAUGCACUAACACAAGCUUGUCAACUUGCUACUAAUCAAUCUAUAACCAUUUACAUUGACUGCUGAUUUUACUGACAGUUUCUCUCCUAUAACAAAUUUUACUCCUUUCUCAAAUAGCUGUGUGCAAAUGCAAAGCACACACCAAGGAACAGGACGUGAUCUCCAGAGGAAAUGCACGCACGGAUGCGGAAGCAUCUCUCAUGACUACUAACAAAAACGUUUCUCUUACACAGAUUUCCCAGGAAAAGGAAGCCGAAACACCACAGGAGUUACUAAUAAGCAUGCAAACAUUUUCUCUUCCAACAGAAAUAGCUCUAUGGAAAUCGUGUGGAGCAACCAAAACUCCUGAAGGGAUUUGGAUGGGUCCAAAUCAAAAACCUUGCUUACCUAAACAUUUUUAUUCCCAUUUUGCUAGGUUGACACAUGGGGACCACGGUGACAUGCGAUACUCUUCAAAAUGAAAAUGACAUGUUGCAAUAUUGUAUUUCUAUGUUCUCUGUAUUUCAAAAUAUCUCCAAAGCAGGUUAAAUCAGCCCUACCCCGUCCAGUAGAAGAACCAUUACACAACAUCAAACCAGGGGAUUACGUGGUGGUAAAGAACCUCAGGUGGAAAUCCUGGAAAGCCAGACGGUGGGAGGGGCCAUUUCAGGUUCUGCUGACGACUCACACCGCUGUGAAGGUCGCGGAGCGUGCCACCUGGGUGCACGUUGCCCAUUGCCGGAGGUUUGGUCCGGGACUGCAAGGUGUAAACCAAAGGGAGGACGGCUAGUCGACUGCUACGGACCACUUUUUCGUAUUGGUGGGAACCACAGAUACCUGUAUACUGCAAGUUUAUACGAAGAACGACACGAGAGAACUUCAACAGCUCACAAAGUAUUGGAGGACGACUCCAGUAUUCUGGGUUUGGUUUGGACACACGCACACGACAUCUUUAAUGAUAGCUUGGCACGACUGCACCGUGUGGUCCUACCAAACCCGAACCUACAAAGGAAAUUAAUCAACAAGGGCUCACGACCCCAACUCUAACUGUGCUCAGGGCUCACGACCCCAACUCUAACUGUGCUCAGGGCUCACGACCCCAACUCUAACUGUGCUCAAUCCGGAAUCAUCAAGGGCUCACGACCCCAACUCUAACUGUGCUCAAUUUCUUCAAGAAAACGAACUAUUUUUCUUCUUUCAAAAAUGAGAUUCAUGAUCAUACUAUGUGUGUGUGCAUUUUUACUUUUGCAACUGCACAGAACUAUAUGUACACUAUGGUUAAGGGUAAUAACCAGAGCUACGUAACGAUGACAGUAAAUGAAGUUAUGAAUAAAUCAUAAAAAGGGA
Paramisgurnus dabryanus is the source of this 2972-nucleotide non-coding RNA. The record is from RefSeq and is a predicted model, not a curated record. Lineage: Eukaryota; Metazoa; Chordata; Actinopteri; Cypriniformes; Cobitidae.